Molecule: ribosomal RNA, 497 nt
Filed under: uncultured bacterium
Lineage: Bacteria
Description: partial 16S ribosomal RNA
Rfam family: Bacterial small subunit ribosomal RNA
Source: RNAcentral
GAUGAACGCUGGCGGCGUGCCUAAUACAUGCAAGUCGAGCGAACGGACGAGAAGCUUGCUUCUCUGAUGUUAGCGGCGGACAGGUGAGUAACACGUGGAUAACCCACCUAUAAGACUGGGAUAACUUCGGGAAACCGGAGCUAAUACCGGAUAAUAUUUUGAACCGCAUGGUUCAAAAGUGAAAGACGGUCUUGCUGUCACUUAUAGAUGGAUCCGCGCUGCAUUAGCUAGUUGGUAAGGUAACGGCUUACCAAGGCAACGAUGCAUAGCCGACCUGAGAGGGUGAUCGGCCACACUGGAACUGAGACACGGUCCAGACUCCUACGGGAGGCAGCAGUAGGGAAUCUUCCGCAAUGGGCGAAAGCCUGACGGAGCAACGCCGCGUGAGUGAUGAAGGUCUUCGGAUCGUAAAACUCUGUUAUUAGGGAAGAACAUAUGUGUAAGUAACUGUGCACAUCUUGACGGUACCUAAUCAGAAAGCCACGGCUAACUACGUG